Molecule: non-coding RNA, 790 nt
Organism: Dermacentor andersoni
Lineage: Eukaryota; Metazoa; Arthropoda; Arachnida; Ixodida; Ixodidae
Source: RefSeq, a predicted model, not a curated record
UAGCGUCGAUGACACCGGGGUUCUUGUGUCGACCUCCAUUGUUCUUUCUGAAGCGCUGGAGGACCGAGAGUUGGGCGCCGAAACACGUGUCUCAGGCCAUGGGGUUCGUUUGAUUUUAGGACCCUGCGGAACUGGUGUCUGCAGGCUCUCCGAAGAGAAUGGAGCAGCACUGGCUGCUUCCCCCAUGGAGGCAAGAGGGUUCACUACGGGACCACUGUGCGUGGGCUCGGAGGACUCCUCAGGUCUCUAUGACGCUGCCACCACCUUUGUCACUUCGGCAUAACUACGUCGUGAAAGCCGAAAUUCUGGAAAUGCCAGUAAUGGCCCUGCAUCAGCCAGGGUGAAACCCUACGAUCUACACGCAACACUGAAAAAUUGUACCAAGGAAGCGGGUCUACCGGGUCCAUGUAUGAACGUGGAAAAUUGGCCUCAACUAGGAAAUAUUACGAAGACACUCUGGGAGUACAAUCCUGCAGGACCAUGUGGUAUCUUUUUCUAUUGGUAUCAAGGACGUCGAGUGUGCGAGAUCGACAUCCUAGAAGAUGGACUUCCAGGACCAUGGUCACACGAUGUUUACCAUGUUUGCCAGACAAUGUUUAGGUAUAUCUGUGAAUAUAAUUCAACAAUACCUACUUAUCUUCUGCGGCAGUAGUAGAAAUUCCUGAAAUUCGAAAGAAACGUUGUAUGUUCGUCCAUGUAUAUAUGUUGGUAGCACGCAUAUCGGUUAGCACGUUAUACAUAAGAUUUCUGCUUCAUUGUUUCAAUAAAUAAUUUGCGCACACGACAAGUA